UUUUUUGUUUUAUAUAAAAAAUCUGGCCUGCUCAGUGAGUUUUAAAUAGCUGCAGUAUUUUGACUGUACAAAGGUAGCAUAAUCACUUGUCCUUUAAUUGAGGUCUGGAAUGAAUGGUUUGAUGAAAAAUAUACUUUAUUUAUUUUUAAGAAAAAAUUUAAUUUUUGAGUAAAAAAGCUUGAAAAUUUUUUUAUAGGACGAGAAGACCCUAUAGAGCUUUAUUUUAUUAUUUUUGUAUUAUAUUAGGUUAUAUAUUUUUAAUAAAAAUGGUGAAAUUUUGUUGGGGUGACAAAAAAAAUAUAAUAACUUUUUUUAAUUAUUACAUUGAUUAAUGUAUUUUUGAUCCUUUUUUUGGAAAAAAGAAUAAGCUACCUUAGGGAUAACAGCGUUAUUAUUUUGGAGAGUUCAUAUCGAUGAAAUAGUUUGCGACCUCGAUGUUGGAUUAAAAUAAGAUAUAGAAGUAGAAUGUUAUAUUCUUGGUCUGUUCGACCUUUAAAUUUUUACAUGAUCU
This 511-nucleotide ribosomal RNA is filed under the name Orthotylinae gen. ZANCGEN2 sp. Msp023. Its description in RNAcentral is "partial large subunit ribosomal RNA". It matches the Rfam family "Bacterial large subunit ribosomal RNA", at positions 1822 to 2606 of the family's 2925-position model. Lineage: Eukaryota; Metazoa; Arthropoda; Insecta; Hemiptera; Miridae. The record is from RNAcentral.